Molecule: ribosomal RNA, 492 nt
Filed under: uncultured bacterium
Lineage: Bacteria
Description: partial 16S ribosomal RNA
Rfam family: Bacterial small subunit ribosomal RNA
Source: RNAcentral
AAUGAACGCUGGCGGUAGGCCUAACACAUGCAAGUCGAACGGCAGCACAGUAAGAGCUUGCUCUUACGGGUGGCGAGUGGCGGACGGGUGAGGAAUACAUCGGAAUCUACUUUUUCGUGGGGGAUAACGUAGGGAAACUGACGCUAAUACCGCAUACGACCUACGGGUGAAAGCAGGGGAUCUUCGGACCUUGCGCGAUUGAAUGAGCCGAUGUCGGAUUAGCUAGUUGGCGGGGUAAAGGACUACCAAGGCGACGAUCCGUAGCUGGUCUGAGAGGAUGAUCAGCCACACUGGAACUGAGACACGGUCCAGACUCCUACGGGAGGCAGCAGUGGGGAAUAUUGGACAAUGGGCGCAAGCCUGACCCAGCAAUACCGCGUGGGUGAAGAAGGCCUUCGGAUUGUAAAGCCCUUUUAUUGGGAAAGAAAAGCAGCAGGUUAAUACCCCGCUGUUCUGACGGUACCCAAAGAAUAAGCACCGGCUAACUUCGUG